RNAcentral lists this ribosomal RNA (586 nucleotides) under Candida albicans. Its description in RNAcentral is "eukaryotic LSU rRNA". It matches the Rfam family "Eukaryotic large subunit ribosomal RNA", at positions 65 to 668 of the family's 3401-position model. The record is from RNAcentral. Lineage: Eukaryota; Fungi; Ascomycota; Pichiomycetes; Serinales; Debaryomycetaceae.
CCAAGGGCGAUGCCUCAGUAGCGGCGAGUGAGCGGCAAAAGCUCAAAUUUGAAAUCUGGCGUCUUUGGCGUCCGAGUUGUAAUUUGAAGAAGGUAUCUUUGGGCCCGGCUCUUGUCUAUGUUCCUUGGAACAGGACGUCACAGAGGGUGAGAAUCCCGUGCGAUGAGAUGACCCGGGUCUGUGUAAAGUUCCUUCGACGAGUCGAGUUGUUUGGGAAUGCAGCUCUAAGUGGGUGGUAAAUUCCAUCUAAAGCUAAAUAUUGGCGAGAGACCGAUAGCGAACAAGUACAGUGAUGGAAAGAUGAAAAGAACUUUGAAAAGAGAGUGAAAAAGUACGUGAAAUUGUUGAAAGGGAAGGGCUUGAGAUCAGACUUGGUAUUUUGCAUGUUGCUCUCUCGGGGGCGGCCGCUGCGGUUUACCGGGCCAGCAUCGGUUUGGAGCGGCAGGAUAAUGGCGGAGGAAUGUGGCACGGCUUCUGCUGUGUGUUAUAGCCUCUGACGAUACUGCCAGCCUAGACCGAGGACUGCGGUUUUUACCUAGGAUGUUGGCAUAAUGAUCUUAAGUCGCCCGUCUUGACCACCGGACCA